Molecule: ribosomal RNA, 497 nt
Filed under: uncultured bacterium
Lineage: Bacteria
Description: partial 16S ribosomal RNA
Rfam family: Bacterial small subunit ribosomal RNA
Source: RNAcentral
GAUGAACGCUGGCGGCGUGCCUAAUACAUGCAAGUCGAGCGAACAGACGAGGAGCUUUCUCCUUCGACGUUAGCGGCGGACGGGUGAGUAACACGUAGGUAACCUACCUAUAAGACUGGUAUAACUUCGGGAAACCGGAGCUAAUACCGGAUAAUAUUUCGAGCCGCAUGGUUCGAUAGUGAAAGAUGGCUUUGCUAUCACUUAUAGAUGGACCUGCGCCGUAUUAGCUAGUUGGUAAGGUAACGGCUUACCAAGGCAACGAUACGUAGCCGACCUGAGAGGGUGAUCGGCCACACUGGAACUGAGACACGGUCCAGACUCCUACGGGAGGCAGCAGUAGGGAAUCUUCCGCAAUGGGCGAAAGCCUGACGGAGCAACGCCGCGUGAAUGAUGAAGGUCUUCGGAUCGUAAAACUCUGUUAUUAGGGAAGAACAAACGUAUAAGUAACUGUGCACGUCUUGACGGUACCUAAUCAGAAAGCCACGGCUAACUACGUG